AUUUCGUUAGGCUUUGCUGAUUACAAAUGAGAAGAUGCUGUGUUAGCUCCUCCUCCAGUGGUUUGUCUGCUACUUAUAGCCACAGUCCUCUCCCCUUCCUCCAUCAGUGGGGUUACCACUGUGCUCCUGUCUAGGAAACAAGAAAGGCGGUGCCUUCACCAAGAAGUAAGGCUAAAUUGCAAGCUUUAGGUGGACCUUAUUCAAAUGGCUCAACAGCCCAGCCCAAGAGCCCUGGGUCCCCCUGGGGAAGAGGAUGUUGCACCAGACAGCCAAACCCAACUACAGCCUGUCAGACCUCGGCCAGUUAGAUCCCGGAGAAGAAGGCGUAGGCAGGCAGCUCCUGCAUCCCGAGAAGAAGAUGAACCUAGGACCUUUCAAGCUCAUCGCCACAUGAGAAGCAGCCUGAGCAGGAGAGAAUUGAAAAUAUGACAUGAAUUUAAGUGCUCUGAGGCUGAUCUGAACCCAUCAAAGUUGGUGCAAAAAAUUCCACUGGUUUCAGUAGCCUUUGGAAUACUUGAUGCUCAUUACCAAAAAU
RNAcentral lists this long non-coding RNA (535 nucleotides) under Cyanistes caeruleus (blue tit). RNAcentral's name for it is "lncRNA (ENSCCEG00000013950.1)". Lineage: Eukaryota; Metazoa; Chordata; Aves; Passeriformes; Paridae. The record is from RNAcentral.